AACUCCUCCGCCGCGCGCGUUGCGCCCUGGAGGUCGCCGUCGGCUGCAAAAAGGAGGUCGAUAUCCGAUACGUAGUUGAGCUCUCUGCCGCCGAGUUUGCCCAUCGCUAUCACCGCGAGUCUCUCCGUCCCCCGGACCCCCUUCAGAGCGGCCUCGAGACAUGCGUCGGCCAGAUCGCUCAGCGCGCGACCGACCUCCUCCAGAGAGACAUCAGAGCCGAGAUCCCACGCCGCGAUCUGAGCGAGGAAGCAUCUCUUUGCCACACGCAGGUGCUCCAUGCCCCCGAGGGAGUAGGCAGACUGGAUCGCACUGCGGUACGCAACCGCAUCGGGAAGGUCAUCAUCGGAGAGCAAGCUGGUCGCCCACUCGUGGCUCUCGACGAGAUCGGCGAGGGG
This 395-nucleotide unclassified non-coding RNA is filed under the name uncultured fungus. RNAcentral describes it as "sequence contains ITS1". Lineage: Eukaryota; Fungi. The record is from RNAcentral.